UACGUAGGGUGCAAGCGUUGUCCGGAAUUAUUGGGCGUAAAGAGCUCGUAGGCGGUUUGUCGCGUCUGCUGUGAAAACUGGGGGCUCAACCCCCAGCCUGCAGUGGGUACGGGCAGACUAGAGUGCGGUAGGGGAGAUUGGAAUUCCUGGUGUAGCGGUGGAAUGCGCAGAUAUCAGGAGGAACACCGAUGGCGAAGGCAGCUCGCUGGGACGGUACUGACGCUGAGGCGCGAAAGCGUGGGGAGCAAACAGG
Molecule: ribosomal RNA, 253 nt
Filed under: uncultured bacterium
Lineage: Bacteria
Description: partial 16S ribosomal RNA
Rfam family: Bacterial small subunit ribosomal RNA
Source: RNAcentral